AGACCCGAAACCCGGUGAUCUAGCCAUGGGCAGGUUGAAGGUUGGGUAACACUAACUGGAGGACCGAACCGACUAAUGUUGAAAAAUUAGCGGAUGACCUGUGGCUGGGGGUGAAAGGCCAAUCAAACCGGGAGAUAGCUGGUUCUCCCCGAAAGCUAUUUAGGUAGCGCCUCGUGAAUUCAUCUCCGGGGGUAGAGCACUGUUUCGGCUAGGGGGCCAUCCCGGCUUACCAACCCGAUGCAAACUGCGAAUACCGGAGAAUGUUAUCACGGGAGACACACGGCGGGUGCUAACGUCCGUCGUGAAGAGGGAAACAACCCAGACCGCCAGCUAAGGUCCCAAAGUCAUGGUUAAGUGGGAAACGAUGUGGGAAGGCCCAGACAGCCAGGAUGUUGGCUUAGAAGCAGCCAUCAUUUAAAGAAAGCGUAAUAGCUCACUGGUCGAGUCGGCCUGCGCGGAAGAUGUAACGGGGCUAAACCAUGCACCGAAGCUGCGGCAGCGACGCUGAUGCGUUGUUGGGUAGGGGAGCGUUCUGUAAGCCUGCGAAGGUGGCCUGUGAGGGUUGCUGGAGGUAUCAGAAGUGCGAAUGCUGACAUAAGUAACGAUAAAGCGGGUGAAAAGCCCGCUCGCCGGAAGACCAAGGGUUCCUGUCCAACGUUAAUCGGGGCAGGGUGAGUCGACCCCUAAGGCGAGGCCGAAAGGCGUAGUCGAUGGGAAACGGGUUAAUAUUCCCGUACUUGGUGUUACUGCGAAGGGGGGACGGAGAAGGCUAUGUUGGCCGGGCGACGGUUGUCCCGGUUUAAGCGUGUAGGUGUGUGUUCCAGGUAAAUCCGGUUCACUUUAACACUGAGGCGUGACGACGAGGCACUACGGUGCUGAAGCAACAAAUGCCCUGCUUCCAGGAAAAGCCUCUAAGCAUCAGGUAACAUCAAAUCGUACCCCAAACCGACACAGGUGGUCAGGUAGAGAAUACCAAGGCGCUUGAGAGAACUCGGGUGAAGGAACUAGGCAAAAUGGUGCCGUAACU
RNAcentral lists this ribosomal RNA (1027 nucleotides) under Salmonella enterica. RNAcentral's name for it is "bacterial LSU rRNA". It matches the Rfam family "Bacterial large subunit ribosomal RNA", at positions 711 to 1735 of the family's 2925-position model. RNAcentral also lists the same sequence under 3 other names. The record is from RNAcentral. Lineage: Bacteria; Pseudomonadati; Pseudomonadota; Gammaproteobacteria; Enterobacterales; Enterobacteriaceae.